Molecule: ribosomal RNA, 433 nt
Filed under: uncultured bacterium
Lineage: Bacteria
Description: partial 16S ribosomal RNA
Rfam family: Bacterial small subunit ribosomal RNA
Source: RNAcentral
AACGAACGCUGGCGGCAUGCCUAACACAUGCAAGUCGAACGAUGCCUUCGGGCAUAGUGGCGCACGGGUGCGUAACGCGUGGGAAUCUGCCCUUCGGUUCGGAAUAACUCAGGGAAACUUGAGCUAAUACCGGAUAACGUCGCAAGACCAAAGAUUUAUCACCGAAAGAUGAGCCCGCGUAGGAUUAGCUAGUUGGUGAGGUAAAGGCUCACCAAGGCGACGAUCCUUAGCUGGUCUGAGAGGAUGAUCAGCCACACUGGGACUGAGACACGGCCCAGACUCCUACGGGAGGCAGCAGUGGGGAAUAUUGGACAAUGGGCGAAAGCCUGAUCCAGCAAUGCCGCGUGAGUGAUGAAGGCCUUAGGGUUGUAAAGCUCUUUUACCCGGGAAGAUAAUGACGGUACCGGGAGAAUAAGCCCCGGCUAACUCCGUG